This 391-nucleotide ribosomal RNA is filed under the name uncultured bacterium. Its description in RNAcentral is "partial 16S ribosomal RNA". It matches the Rfam family "Bacterial small subunit ribosomal RNA", at positions 523 to 917 of the family's 1533-position model. The record is from RNAcentral.
AUACGGAGGAUCCGAGCGUUAUCCGGAUUUAUUGGGUUUAAAGGGUGCGCAGGCGGCCAUUUAAGUCAGCGGUUAAAUCGUGGGGCUCAACCCCAUUCUGCCGUUGAUACUGGGUGGCUUGAUUGCGGUCGAGGUUGGCGGAAUUCGUUGUGUAGCGGUGAAAUGCAUAGAUAUGACGAAGAACACCGAUUGCGUAGGCAGCUGACCAGACCGCAAAUGACGCUCAUGCACGAAAGUGCGGGGAUCGAACAGGAUUAGAUACCCUGGUAGUCCGCACAGUAAACGAUGAAUACUUGUUUUCGGCGAUAUAAUGUCGGAGGCAAAGCGAAAGCGAUAAGUAUUCCACCUGGGGAGUACGCCGGAAACGGUGAAACUCAAAUGAAUUGACGGG